CCAGCGAUCCGAAUGAGGACAGGCCCGCAACGCGGGCCCGACUCGGUUUUUUUUCGUCUUUUUCUUUUUUUAUUUAUUUAUCGAAACGGCGUCGUGGCCCAUCGUUUUGGGAGGGAUCCAGCCCGGCCCGACGACCCGGCUCUGCAACCCGCUCCCCCGAUGAAACCCUACCCGGAUCCGACCCGAACCCUGACCCGGUUUCCGCCGCCCCCCCAAAAUACGGAGAAACCCUACCCGACUCGUAGCCCCGGGUCCGACCCACUGACCCAAGGCCGCGACCCGGAAAAUCGAGAACCCUAGGGUUCUCGAUUCGCGGCGCCGGAGAGGGGAAGGCUGAGGUGCGCGGUGGCGACGGCGGCGACGGCGGCGACGACGGUCAGAGCUUCGAGCGGAAAUCGGUAUGGCGUGGGCAGGAUCUAUUGUCACCUGCUCUCGGCGUUGGCACGGCACGGUGGCACGGCUUGAUGACAGCGGCCCUUAAACUUGGACGGCGUCGGGAAAAAUAGCAGCGGCGAGGCGCGGGGGGCGACAGUAUGGUUUAACGGCGUCGGGACUGGUGUUCGGCCACAGCGACGGCGGCGGCCUGGCUCGGGGCGACUCGGCACGGCGGAUUUCCAGAUCUGCGCCCAGAUCCCGACCCUCUCUCCUCCGGAUCUUCUCUCGCUCAGCUCCUUCCUGCUCGGAUCUCACCUUCUUUGCUUCUCAGCCCGACCUCGCUUCUCUCUCACUCAGGCCAGAUCCGAGCCUCCACCGGCCGGAUCUGACCUUCUCGGACUCGCUCGCCGGCGGCCUCCCCUGAAGUCUCUCAGUGGGAGGUCAGCCGAGCUCGCGACCCGAGUUCUCUCCCGUGCUCGCCCUUCAAUCCUUCCCGAUGUCUCUCAGUGAAGGAUCUCCGAGCUCGCCCGUGCCGUUCGUCGACGGAGGUGCUCCUCUAUUUAUAGGCGAGGAGGAGGCCGGUCGACGGAGGUUCGGCCGUCGGCUCUCGCACGCCGA
This 993-nucleotide long non-coding RNA is filed under the name Eucalyptus grandis. Its description in RNAcentral is "long non-coding RNA (EGRA_LNC005479)". Lineage: Eukaryota; Viridiplantae; Streptophyta; Magnoliopsida; Myrtales; Myrtaceae. The record is from RNAcentral.